This 3655-nucleotide ribosomal RNA is filed under the name Durio zibethinus. RNAcentral describes it as "eukaryotic LSU rRNA". The stretch from base 393 to 3655 matches the Rfam family "Eukaryotic large subunit ribosomal RNA". The record is from RNAcentral. Lineage: Eukaryota; Viridiplantae; Streptophyta; Magnoliopsida; Malvales; Malvaceae.
AUGACUUGUGGUAAUAGAUCUUUUGGCUCUCGCAUCAAUGAAGAACAUAGCAAAAUGCGAUACUUAGUGUGAAUUGCAGAAUCAUGUGAACCAUCAAGUCUUUGAACAUAAGUUGCACCCUAAGCCAUUAGGCCAAGGGCACACCUACCUUGGUGUCAUGCCUCAUCACCCCCUCCAACUUUUUACCCAUUGGGCUUCGGGUGACAAGGGGUAGAAGAUGGCCUCCCACGAUUUUAUCAUUCUUAGUUGUUCCAAAAGUGAGUCCCCGACAAUGAUAGCAUCGUGAGCGUUGGUGGUGAAGCUCCUAGCAUGCCUCAUCUCUAGUGAUGCAAGCUCAUUGUCCAUUUGGACCUCAUUGGACCUUCAAAAUUGCUCGAUUGAUGCUCGCAUUGCAAUCUCAAGUUAGGUAGGACUACUCCCUGAGUUUAAGCAUAUCAAUAAGUAGGGGAAAAAAAACUUACCAGGAUUCCCUUAGUAAAGGUGAGUGAAUCGAGAAGAGCCUAGCUUGAAGAUCGUGCACCCCUUACAUUUGAAUUGUAGUCUAGUGAAGCAUCCUCGGCAACGAAUCGGGCCUAAGUCCCUUGGAAAAGGACAUCAAAGAGGGUGAGAGUCCCAUUAUGCUUGGGCCUUAUCGCAUUAUGAGGCAUUAUUUAUAAGUUAGGUUGUUUAGGAAUGUAGCUUUAAUCAGGCAGUAAAUUUCACCCAAGGUUGAAUACGGGUAAGAGACAUCAUGAUAGAAAACAAGUACUGUGAGGGAAAGAUGAAAAGGAUUUUGAAAAAAGAGUUAAAAAGUGCUUGAAAUUAUCAAAAGGGAAGCAGAUUGGGAUCGAUGAUGUGCUCUAGUCGAUAUGGAACGAUGAGAGCCGAUCCAUCGAUCGGCUCGGUGUGUGGACCAAUGCGAAUUGUGAAGAUAGCCUAAGCCUAGGCUUUCGAUAUGCCUACAGAGAUGUCACCACGAUCAUGGAAUGUAGCACGUGCUGUCUCAGCAUGACCCAAAACUGGCAUGCUGCUGGCAUUAACUUACAAGUUCUUUAUCUAGCCCAUCUUGAAACAUGGACCAAGGACUCUGACAUGUGUACGAAUCAAUAGGCUAAAAAACCCAUAAGGCAUAAGAAAGCUGAUUGGCGGGAUCCCUUAUGAGUGUAUCGUUGAAUGACCUUGAUCUUUUAAGAAGGGUUUGAAUGUGAGCAUCCCUAUCGAGACCCGAAAGAUGGUGAACUAUGCCUAAGCGAGGCAAAUCCAGAGGAAACUUUGGUGUGGGCCUGCAGUGAUCCUGAGUGCAAAUCAUUUGUUAGACUUGGGUAUAGGGGCGAAAGACUAAUCAAACUAUCUAGUAGCUAGUUCCCUCUAAAGUUUCCCUCAAGAUAGCUAAAGCCCUUAGCAAGUUCUAUAAGGAAAAGCCAAUGAUUAGAGGCAUUGGGGCUGUAAUGCCCUUGACCUUUUCUCAAACUUUAAAUAGGUAGGAUGGCUUGGUUGCUUCGUUGAGCCGCACCAUGGAAUCAAGAGCUCCAAGUGGGCCAUUUAUGGUAAGCAGAACUAGCGAUGUGGGAUGAACUAGAAGCUAGGUUAUGGUGCCCAACUAUGCACUAACCUAGAACCCACAAAGGGUGUUAGUCGAUAAGAUAGCAUGAUGGUUGUCAUGGAAGUUGAAAUCUGCUAAGGAGUGUCUAAUAACUCACUUGUCGAAUCAACUAGCCCUGAAAAUGGAUGGUGCUUAAGCACAUGACUUUUACCCAAUUAUUGAGGCAAAGGCUAGACCCUGAUGAGUAAGAGGGCAUGACAAUCAUCUCAAAACCUGAGGCAUCGGCCCAAAUAAAGCAAUUGUCAGUGCAGAUCUUGGUGGUAGUAGCAAAUAUUCAAAUGAAAAAUUUGAAGGUCGAAGAGGGGAAAGGUUUCAUGUGAAUGGCACUUACACAUGGGUUAGUCGAUCUUAAGAGAUGGGGGAAGCCUGUCCAACAAAAUGUUUAGCAUGAGUUUUGAAAGGGAAUCAGGUUAAAAUUCUUGAAUCAAGAUAUGGCGGCUAACAGCAAUCUUAUGGAGUUCGAAGACGUUGGCAGAUGCCUCAGGAAGGAAUAUCUUUUCUAUUUAACGACUUCUCCACCCUGGAAUUGGCUCAGUUAGAGGUAGCAUUCAGCUGUUAGAAGAGCAUCGCAUGUUGCAUAGUGUCCUAUGCACCCUUUACCGCCUUUGAAAAUCCAAAGGACCAAGUUUUAUCCAUGCCUGAUCGAACUUAUAAUUGCAUCAAGUCUCUAAGGUGAAUAGCCUCUAGUCGAUGGAACAAUGUAGGCAAGGAAAGUUAGUAAAAUGGUUUUGUAACCUUGAGAGAAGGAUUGGCUCUGAGGGCUAGGCAUAGGGGUCAUAGACCCGAACCCAUUGGUUGCUGGUGUACUACUCAAGCUAUUUCUUUGAUGAGAGCAGGUCAUUAUGUGUUGGCUGGGGGACGGACUGGGAAUGGCUCCAUGGGGGCCUUCCUUAGGUGAUGAACAGUCAAUUUAGAACUGGUAUGGAUAAGGGGAAGUUGACUAUUUAAUUAAAACAAAGCAUUGUGAUGGUCCCUAAGGAUACUCAUGCAAUGUGUUUUCUGCCUAGUGCUCUGAAUGUCAAAGUAAAUAAAUUCAACCAAGCACGGGUAAAUGGUGGGAGUAAUUAUGACCUUCUUAAGGUAGCCAAAUGCCUCAUCAUCUAAUUAGUGACACGCAUGAAUGGAUUAAUGAGAUUCGCACUAUCCCUAUCUACUAUCCUAUAAAACCACAGCCAAGGGAAUAGGCUUGGUGAAAUAAACGAGGAAAGAAGACUUUGUUGAGCUUGACUCUAGUUCAACUUUGUGAAAUGACUUGAAAGGUGUAGAAUAGGUGAGAGCCCUUAGACGAAAUUGAAAUGCCAUUACUUUUAACGUUAUUUUACUUAUUUUAUGUAUCAGAGACAAGGCACAACCCUUUCUUUUAGACCUAAGGCUAGCCUCGAUCGAUUGAUCCAGGCAGAAGACAUUGUUAGGAGGGGAGUUUGACUGAGGCAACACAUCUGUUAAAAGAUAAUACAGGUUUGCUAAGAUGAGCUCAACAAGAAUAGAAUCUCAUUUGAAAAAAAGGGUAAAAGCUCAUUUGAUUCAGAUUUCUAGUAUGAAUAUGAACUAUGAAAGUAUGGCCUACUGAUCCUUUAGACUUUCAAAAUUUGAAGCUAGAGGUAUCAAAAAAGCUACCACAGGGAUAACUGGUUUAUGACAACCAAGCAUUCAUAAUGAUGUUGCUUUUUGGUUCUUCGAUGUCAGCUUUUUCUAUCAUUGUGAAGCUAAAUUCACCAAAUGUUCGCCAAGUGUUGGAUUGUUCACCCUCCAAUAGGGAAUGUGAACUAGGUUUAGAUUAUCGUGAGAUAGGUUAGUUUUACCCUACUGAUGGCAGUGUCGCAAUAUUAAUUCAACCUAGUACUAGAAGAACUACUGAUUUGCACAAUUGGUCAUUGUGCUUGGUUAAAAAGCCAUUGGUGCAAAGCUACCUUGCCCUAGAUUAUGAUUGAACACCUUUAAGUCAAAAUCUGAGCUAAAAGUGACACAUGCGCCCAUCACUUGAUUGCCUACUUACAAUAAAGGCUCAUGGCCCCUAAAGGUACAUGUCAUAGGUGUAGCCCCAGCGACAAACAAGCCACGUGGGCCUCUUUG